Molecule: long non-coding RNA, 626 nt
Organism: Tigriopus californicus
Lineage: Eukaryota; Metazoa; Arthropoda; Copepoda; Harpacticoida; Harpacticidae
Exons: 3
Source: RefSeq, a predicted model, not a curated record
AGGACUCUCAUAGUAGUAAUUUCAGUGGAGCACCAAUCGAGUGUGCGUAGUUUUAUCCUCAAGAGGUGUCUGAAGAGAGAGUUUUGAUUGAAUUCCAACUUUAAUGAUGAUGCCUGGAUCAUCAUUGUAUCCGGAGUUUGUGAGAUGAAAUGAACCCUGGCCAUGGUUUGCGACUGUUACCAUCUGACGGGAUACCAUUGCGGGGGUCGAUGCUCGGCUUGUACGCAUCACCCGCAUUGGGCCAGUUCUCAUGCACACUGCCUGGCCCCGACCCCACAUUACCACCCGCCCCACCAUUUACAUUGUAGUGACGGGCCAUAUCAUGGAGCGCCUUGUCAUCCCCAUGUUCACGCCCAUCACAAGCCGUGUUCGUGCUAUCGAGCUGCUUUGGAGUGUCAAAAGCAAGCGGCGAUUAGCAACUACCGAAGUAUGGAGAAAUAUCAUCGAGAGAUCUCGGACUCUUAUCGACACAUGGUCGAGGAUGUCAAGAGACAUCACUCAUUUUAAGUGUUAAUCAACUCUUCAAUUGUUCCCAGUCCAAUUAUAAAGCCAGAGAUGAAUUUGUUUGAAGUGUUUUUUGAAUAAAACGUGCAAUUGUUGCUCACUGCCAACAAAAUUGCUUGGUA